GACGAACGCUGGCGGCGUGCUUAACACAUGCAAGUCGAACGGAAAGGCCCUGCUUUUGUGGGGUGCUCGAGUGGCGAACGGGUGAGUAACACGUGAGUAACCUGCCCUUGACUUUGGGAUAACUUCAGGAAACUGGGGCUAAUACCGGAUAGGAGCUCCUGCUGCAUGGUGGGGGUUGGAAAGUUUCGGCGGUUGGGGAUGGACUCGCGGCUUAUCAGCUUGUUGGUGGGGUAGUGGCUUACCAAGGCUUUGACGGGUAGCCGGCCUGAGAGGGUGACCGGCCACAUUGGGACUGAGAUACGGCCCAGACUCCUACGGGAGGCAGCAGUGGGGAAUAUGGCACAAUGGGCGGAAGCCUGAUGCAGCAACGCCGCGUGCGGGAUGACGGCCUUCGGGUGGUAAACCGCUUUCGCCUGUGACGAAGCGUGAGUGACGGUAAUGGGUAAAGAAGCACCGGCUAACUACGU
This 467-nucleotide ribosomal RNA is filed under the name uncultured bacterium. RNAcentral's name for it is "partial 16S ribosomal RNA". It matches the Rfam family "Bacterial small subunit ribosomal RNA", at positions 28 to 506 of the family's 1533-position model. The record is from RNAcentral.